AGGCCUUCACAGCGACUCUUACACACACUGCUGAAGAUGUAAACUCAGCCAUCAGCCUCUUAAACAGUCAGUUCUUGGAAAACAGGAAGGAGAGGCAGCUGGGUGUUCUUUCAGUUAACUGUCUAAAGGCAUAAACACAGGAAUCCCACUUCCUUAUCAAUUCAGUGAUCUCCAACGCCUCAGCUGGGUGAAAGCGGGGGCCCUGGCGAUGUUAAUGUGGAUGGGCAACAAGGCAUUCUCUGGACUAGGUCACACAAAAGUAGCGCCGAUCUCCUAGAACAAUUCUGGAGAAACUUCCAGUGAAGUUGGCCUUUUGUUAUAAACAGUUGGCUUCCAGUGCCCCGGAGAACGAGGGGGCUGGAAGAAGGAGCGGCCUCAUCAGCCUUCACCUUGACGUCAGAAACUACUGUUGCUGCCUCUCUUCCCACGUCAAACAAAAGUGCCCCAAGCCUUUGGGCUCAGGGGUCUAUGUGAAAGAAGAGGUGGAAAGAUUAGAGCCAGAGGUAUUGGGCAACUCCAAGGAAUAGCAUCUUCCAGACACAAGGCUGAUGUACAUGUAGACUUACAGAAGCUGUGACAUCGUUCACAAUACCUGCACAGAUUAAAUCCAGACGAAAGCCCAGCAUGGAGAAGAGACAGUGGGCGCAUGCUCCUACCCCUAACCAAUUCUCAAUUGGUAGCUGCUGGGAAAGAGCAUUGGUUUUCCUCAAUGGAAUGACAUUGGGUAUGUCAGUCACACUUCAGGGCAAAAGCUCAUGCUCAGAAGUCUCUGGCCAACAAAACAAAUUCUACGGUGUUUUCUUAACGGUGUAUGCUUUUUGUUUGGUUGGCUUUGUUUGGUUACUUAUUUUUUUGAGAGAGAGAAAGAGCAUGUAGUUAGAUGGGUGUCUGGGAAGAGUUGAGGGGAGGGGAAAGAGUAUGAUCAAAAUGUAGUGUACGAAGUGCUUUUAAAAGUAAUAAAGA
This is a long non-coding RNA of Peromyscus eremicus (cactus mouse), 963 nucleotides long. RefSeq lists it as uncharacterized. The transcript is spliced from 2 exons. NCBI's taxonomy places the organism in Eukaryota, Metazoa, Chordata, Mammalia, Rodentia, Cricetidae. The record is from RefSeq and is a predicted model, not a curated record.